Molecule: ribosomal RNA, 250 nt
Filed under: uncultured Desulfotomaculum sp.
Lineage: Bacteria; Bacillati; Bacillota; Clostridia; Eubacteriales; Desulfotomaculaceae
Description: partial 16S ribosomal RNA
Rfam family: Bacterial small subunit ribosomal RNA
Source: RNAcentral
UACGUAGGGGGCAAACGUUGUCCGGAAUGACUGGGCGUAAAGGGCGAGUAGGUGGUCUGCCAAGUCAGAAGUGAAAACUGCGGGCUCAACCCGGAGACUGCUUUUAGAAACUGGCAGACUUGAGUGCAGGAGAGGGAAGCGGAAUUCCUAGUGUAGCGGUGAAAUGCGUAGAUAUUAGGAAGAACACCAGUGGCGAAGGCGGCUUCCUGGCCUGUAACUGACACUGAGGCGCGAAAGCGUGGGGAGCAAA